Molecule: ribosomal RNA, 1346 nt
Filed under: uncultured bacterium
Lineage: Bacteria
Description: partial 16S ribosomal RNA
Rfam family: Bacterial small subunit ribosomal RNA
Source: RNAcentral
GACGAACGCUGGCGGCGUGCUUAACACAUGCAAGUCGAACGGAAAGGCCCUGCUUUUGUGGGGUGCUCGAGUGGCGAACGGGUGAGUAACACGUGAGUAACCUGCCCUUGACUUUGGGAUAACCUCAGGAAACUGGGGCUAAUACCGGAUAGGAGCUCCUGCUGCAUGGUGGGGGUUGGAAAGUUUCGGCGGUUGGGGAUGGACUCGCGGCUUAUCAGCUUGUUGGUGGGGUAGUGGCUUACCAAAGCUUUGACGGGUAGCCGGCCUGAGAGGGUGACCGGCCACAUUGGGACUGAGAUACGGCCCAGACUCCUACGGGAGGCAGCAGUGGGGAAUAUUGCACAAUGGGCGGAAGCCUGAUGCAGCAACGCCGCGUGCGGGAUGACGGCCUUCGGGUUGUAAACCGCUUUCGCCUGUGACGAAGCGUGAGUGACGGUAAUGGGUAAAGAAGCACCGGCUAACUACGUGCCAGCAGCCGCGGUGAUACGUAGGGUGCGAGCGUUGUCCGGAUUUAUUGGGCGUAAAGGGCUCGUAGGUGGUUGAUCGCGUCGGAAGUGUAAUCUUGGGGCUUAACCCUGAGCGUGCUUUCGAUACGGGUUGACUUGAGGAAGGUAGGGGAGAAUGGAAUUCCUGGUGGAGCGGUGGAAUGCGCAGAUAUCAGGAGGAACACCAGUGGCGAAGGCGGUCCUCUGGGCCUUUCCUGACGCUGAGGAGCGAAAGCGUGGGGAGCGAACAGGCUUAGAUACCCUGGUAGUCCACGCUGUAAACGGUGGGUACUAGGUGUGGGGUCCAUUCCACGGGUUCCGUGCCGUAGCUAACGCUUUAAGUACCCCGCCUGGGGAGUACGGCCGCAAGGCUAAAACUCAAAGGAAUUGACGGGGCCCCGCACAAGCGGCGGAGCAUGCGGAUUAAUUCGAUGCAACGCGUAGAACCUUACCUGGGUUUGACAUGGAUCGGGAGUGCUCAGAGAUGGGUGUGCCUCUUUUGGGGUCGGUUCACAGGUGGUGCAUGGCUGUCGUCAGCUCGUGUCGUGAGAUGUUGGGUUAAGUCCCGCAACGAGCGCAACCCUUGUUCACUGUUGCCAGCACGUUAUGGUGGGGACUCAGUGGAGACCGCCGGGGUCAACUCGGAGGAAGGUGGGGAUGACGUCAAGUCAUCAUGCCCCUUAUGUCCAGGGCUUCACGCAUGCUACAAUGGCUGGUACAGAGAGUGGCGAGCCUGUGAGGGUGAGCGAAUCUCGGAAAGCCGGUCUCAGUUCGGAUUGGGGUCUGCAACUCGACCUCAUGAAGUCGGAGUCGCUAGUAAUCGCAGAUCAGCAACGCUGCGGUGAAUACGUUCCCGGGGCU